This 309-nucleotide small nuclear RNA is filed under the name Castor canadensis (American beaver). Its description in RNAcentral is "7SK RNA (ENSCCNG00000014533.1)". It matches the Rfam family "7SK RNA". From Rfam's summary of the family: 7SK was discovered as an abundant small nuclear RNA in the mid-70s but a possible function has only recently been suggested. Lineage: Eukaryota; Metazoa; Chordata; Mammalia; Rodentia; Castoridae. The record is from Rfam by way of RNAcentral.
GGAUGUGAAUGCCAUCUGGAUGCCACAUCUGUCCACCCCAGUCAUUGUCAGGGUUGAUUUGGCUGAUCUGACUGGCUAGGUGAUGUCCCCUUCCUCCUUCACCACUCCAUGCAUGUCCCUCCCGAAGAUGCGUGUUUGGUUGAAGAGGAUGACCUUUGCUGAUAGAGAGGCCCAUUCUUUGGUCCACGAUACAUAAGUAGCUGUGCCCCCUGCUAGAACCUCCAAACAAGCUCUCAAUAGAUACUGAGAGAGAGAGAGAGAGAGAGAAAGAGCAUUCACAUACUAAUUUUAUUAAUUUGUAAUCUCUUU